AACAAAAGCAAGCAUUUCACAUGAUAACAGUGGCUCUCUAGGGCUGCCCAAACUCAGUGUACUCAGAAUCAACGGAUGUAAUUUAUCAACUGCUGAUUUCAUUAGGAGUCUUGAUUGCUUGGAAACAUUAACCGAACUUGAUCUCUCAAGUAACAAUUUUGUUAGUGUUCCUGCACUUAGCAAAUUUGUCAACUUGCCAAGGAUUGACUUGUGUAGUUGCAAGAGACUUCGAGAGAUUCCAGAGCUUCCACAAAAUAUACUCAAGGUAGAUGCGAGGGAUUGCGAAUCACUGGAGAGAUUUUUGAUAUUGCCAUAGUCUUUGAACAUGCUAGAUAUUAUCUUGUGGAAUUGCCAUAGAUUUAGUCACAGCCUGGGCGAUGACAUAAUGGAAAAUAUUUUCCUGAAUAAUCAGGAAGUCCCGGUUUAGGCUUGUAUUACCCCGGUAGUGAGGUUCCGAAGUGGUUCCGUUGUUCGAAGGAGGUUGCUGCUAAUGAAAAAGGCCCGUGCAAUGCAUGUGCAAUUUCUUUUGAAAUCCCAAGCAAAUUGAAUUGGGAGAGCAUAGGAGUGGCUGUUUGUUUCCAUUUCUUGGUUUAGUUUUAGGACUCGCCGUCCAGCUGAUAUUUCCAUCAAUGGGGCACUCAUAGAUUAUCACGAGAUGCCCAGUUCAAAGCGAGACCUUAUGUUGCUAACUUAUAUUCCAUUAUCUGAUGAAAUAAAGGGAAAGGUGGAUCAAGAGGAUUGGCCGCGUUAUCACUGUCGAGUUCAAUUUCUCUCUGAUGAAAUUAAAAGCUGUGGAGUUCACCUCGUAUGCCGGCCACCGAAAUACCGAAUGAGAGUGGUAUGCUAUACUGGCUUUCGUCGGCGAAUGCAAAACAAAAGAGGCCUCGUAAUGGAGCCAACGACGAUUAUCACCAUCAACAAGAGCAGCAGGAGCAACCAUCAAUGCCUCCCAUCCCCGAUUACUCUGCAUCUUCAUCUGCAUCCACCUCAGAGUAAAUCUUCCAGACUUCUGAUUGGCAAGCAAAUCUUGAUCUUCCCAAUUUGCUGUCAACUCUCACGAAUCUUGAUCCUACCUCACCAACCACUCCAUAGUGCCAUGCAAUUAGAUAUGUUCUUUCACAGACUAGCUGCUAUUUUCAGGAGAAUAUUGGUGGUAAUCAGCUAGCUAGGCCAUGCAAAUUAAGAUUUUCCACUCAGAAAGGUUACAGACUCUGGCCAAUUUGACUACAUGCUGAAUGCUGAUCUAACUGAAUUUGAGACGACUGCAAAUAAGCUAGAGCCUAGAAGCAAAGGAUAAUAUUGGUGGCAAUCAGCUAGGCUCUACAAAUCAAGGUAGUCCAUACUCCAUACAAAUUGGUUGACACGAUUCAGUAUUAAUAUUUGGUUUCACUUUGUUACUUACAAUUUAAUUAAUGUUAUCUUGUAAUAAUGUUUCUGGGUGAUUAAUGGAGCAAACGACGAUUAUCACCAUGAACAAGAGCAGCAGGAGCAACCAAUCCCUUCAAAACGACACUGCACUGAGGAGCAACCAUCAAUGCCUCCCUUCCCCGAUUACUCUGCAUCUGCAUCCACAUCCACCUCAGAUCAGAUCUUCCAGACUUCUGAUUGGCAAGCAAAUCUUGAUCUUCUUCCCGAUUUGCUGUAGACUCUCGCGAAUCUUGAUCCUACCUCACCAGCCACUCCAUAGUUCCACCAAUAAUAUAUGCCAUGUUCUUUCAGAGACUAGCUGCUAUUUUCAGGGGGGACUAUAGAUUUUCCACUCAGAAAGAUUACAGACUCCGGCCGGCCAAGUUGGCUACAUGCUGAUUGCUGACCUAACUGACUUUGAGACGACUGUAAAUGAGCUAGAAGCAAAGGAUUGAGAACAUGGAAUAUGAAAUGCAGCACUUCAAGCAAAAUCUUCCUAGCAUAUGUACAUGCGACAAGCAUAUUAAAUUUUCCUCUACAGGUGUGUGCUGACCUUCUUGAGGAAGAAGGAAUUGGUUUUCAUUGUUCUAAGCAUGGAAUUGAUACUGUGAGUAGUUAUGCCUUCUUGGAGUUUGCCUCUGUUGUGGAUUCAUGCAAGCAAGCAUUAAUUAUGUGCAUCAAUUCGGCAGCAGAAAUUCAGUAGCUACCACCAAUCUGGAUGUAUAUAUAGUGGCACCCGAGCCAGCGAUCAUAUGUGGCGGUUGAUGAGGGUUUUCGAUCAUAAGCAAGUGGCAUGAGUCUCUUUAGAGGCUGCUGCAGGAUCAGGCUCUUUCCAAGAAGAGAUCAUUGGUGGCAGUCAGCUAGGCUCUGCAAAUCAAGUGGGAACUAUAAACUUUCACUUGGAACAGUUGCUGAGUCGGGCAAAAUCGGGUACAUGCUGAUCUGUCUAAAUUUGAGACGAGUGCAAAAAGAUUAGAAGUAAAGGUAACAAGCAAACCUGCAUAGCUCCCAUCAGUCAACUACUCCACAGCUUCAACAUCAUGAGAAAGCAACUGAGUUCUCUGUAUUCAGAACCAACAAAACUUCGUGAAAACUUUCGUGGUGCAGUUGAAGGUGAUCAAAACCCAUAGCUGUCUUUUUCUCUGCAACCAACACUACCAUCCACUUCAGUAAAACUAUCUCCAUGGUGGUGCUGCUGUACUAUAUGCAAGGUUGUUUCAGAAUAACAGUGUGUGUGUAUAAAGGGCAAGUUUCACAUUUUCAGCCUAGCAGCUGUUACUUCGGAAUUGACCAAAUGGCCCUAUCACUUUGCACUAUAAGCACUACAUAGAUGGAAUCAAUGAAGCCAUGGUGCUUUGGAUCUGGUUGGUGCUUGAGAUUGCGUACAUGAUGAUGGGGAAUAAUGGUAUCAAAACUGUUUGUAGUUGUCCUCAUUGUUGAUCCUCAAUUGAUUCCAUUGUUGUAGGAGAACAUUGGUGGUAUCAUCUAGCUAGUAAAUUCAAAUUAAGGUAGUCCAUGGUUCCAUACAAAUUGGUUCAUAUGAUCCAUUAUUAAUGUUUGGUUCAUUUUCUUAGCUGUCACUGUGUUACUAUG
Rosa chinensis is the source of this 3000-nucleotide long non-coding RNA. RefSeq lists it as uncharacterized. NCBI's taxonomy places the organism in Eukaryota, Viridiplantae, Streptophyta, Magnoliopsida, Rosales, Rosaceae. The transcript has 14 exons. The record is from RefSeq and is a predicted model, not a curated record.